Molecule: ribosomal RNA, 440 nt
Filed under: uncultured bacterium
Lineage: Bacteria
Description: partial 16S ribosomal RNA
Rfam family: Bacterial small subunit ribosomal RNA
Source: RNAcentral
CCUACGGGAGGCAGCAGUGGGGGAUAUUGCACAAUGGGGGAAACCCUGAUGCAGCGACGCCGCGAGAGUGAAGAAGUAUUUCGGUAUGUACAGCUCUAUCAGCAGGGAAGAAAAUGACAGUACCUGACCAAGAAGCCCCGGCUAACUACGUGCCAGCAGCCGCGGUAAUACGUAGGGGGCAAGCGGUAUCCGGAUUUACUGGGGGUAAGGGGAGCGUAGACGGUGAUGUAAGUCUGGAGUGAAAGGCCGGGGCCGAACCCCGGGACUGCGUGGGAAACUGUGUAACUGGAGUACAGGAGGGGCAGGCGGAAUUCCUGGUGUAGCGGUGAAAUGCGUAGAUAUCAGGAGGAAGACCGGCGGCGAAGGCGGCCUGCUGGACUGAAACUGACGUGGAGGCUCGAAAGCGUGGGGAGCAAGCAGGAGUAGAUACCCCAGUAGUC